UGCGCAGGCGGCGGCUCAAGUCAGGUGUGAAAUCCCCGGGCUUAACCUGGGAAUUGCGCUUGAAACUAGGUCGCUAGAGUGUGGCAGAGGGGGUGGAAUUCCACGUGUAGCAGUGAAAUGCGUAGAGAUGUGGAGGAACACCGAUGGCGAAGGCAGCCCCCUGGGUCAACACUGACGCUCAUGCACGAAAGGCUGGGAAGCAAACA
This 206-nucleotide ribosomal RNA is filed under the name uncultured bacterium. RNAcentral's name for it is "partial 16S ribosomal RNA". It matches the Rfam family "Bacterial small subunit ribosomal RNA", at positions 568 to 774 of the family's 1533-position model. The record is from RNAcentral.